RNAcentral lists this small nucleolar RNA (90 nucleotides) under Erinaceus europaeus (western European hedgehog). RNAcentral describes it as "Small nucleolar RNA U3 (ENSEEUG00000023473.1)". The record is from RNAcentral. Lineage: Eukaryota; Metazoa; Chordata; Mammalia; Eulipotyphla; Erinaceidae.
AAGACUACACUUUCAGGGAUCAUUUCUAUAGUUCUUUAAUCAGAAUUUCCAUGUUUCUCUUAACUAGAAGCAACAAAAGUAGAAAUUCAG